GCUCCCUUUCCGUCACCUUUAAGUGUACAUGGAGGUCUGGCUCCCUUUCCGUCACCUUUAAGUGUACAUGGAGGUCUGGCUCCCUUAGUGUUGCACAAUACAUGGGGAUGUCACAUUGUCCAUUCCCCUCGAGAUGACAGGCCCUCAGUCUCCACAAUGACCCAGCGGUCACCAGCCUCAGUACUGGGACUCAGACAAGAGGACCUGACAUAGAAAUGGGCAUGUGUCGUACAGCGAAAACGUCACACGGUGAAAAGCUCACAUUCAGAGCAUGAGAGAGAAAGAGAGAGAGAGGGGGCAGAGAAUGAGACAGAGAGAGAGUGUAGAGCGAAUGAGAGAGAGUAAGAUAGAAGGGGGUAGAGAGAAUGAGAGAAAGAGAGGGAGAGAGAUGAGGGGUAGAGAGAGAGAGAGAGAGAGAGAGAGGGAGAGAAAGAGAAGAGGGGUAGAGAGAGAAGAGCAGUAAAGAGAGAGAUGAGGGGUAGAGAGAGAGAAAGAGAAGUGGGGUAGAGAGAGAGGGGUAGAGAGAGAGAGUGUGAGAGAAGAGGGGUAGAGAGAGAGGGGUAGAGAGAGAGAAAGAGAGAGAAGAGGGAUAGAGAGAGAGAGAAGAGGGGUAGAGAGAGAGAGAUGGGUAGAGAGAGAAAGAGAGAGGAGGGGUAGAGAGAGAAAGAGAGAGAAGAGGGGUAUAGAGAGAGAGAGAAAGAAGAGGGGUAGAGAGAGAGGGGGGUAGAGAGAGAGAGAAGAGGGGGUAGAGAUAGAGGGGAGAGAGAGAGAGAGAGAAGAGGGGGUAGUGAGAAAGAGAGCACCGCAGCAUGAGAUGAAGAGACUCAUUUUGAAUUCAGCACCAGUGGAAAAAAGGCAAUUUUUUAAACGGUUCAUUUGUUUGUUUUUACAUAACUUUUUUUUUUGUAUGACAAAAAGAUCCUCUUUUUAAAAAAUCUACACUGCCCUGCCUGUGAUGGGACCCCCAUGGCAUGUUUUAGAGGGUCUACACAGAGGUCUAUGGCUGCUUACGACCUUGUUGGAGAGCCACGACAGCGCCGUCCCACCCCCCUGUUCUCCCGGUAUAAAAGUUAAACAAGUGUCUUUGGCAGAUUUACAGAAAAGGUCCUCAUCUACUCUGGGACGCUACUGCUAGAAAUUGCAAAGAUGUUAGAGACUGGUCAGAGACACACAAGAAGAGAGAGAGAGAGAGAGAGAGAGAGAGAGAGAGAGAGAGAGAGAGAGAGAGAGAGACUGGUCAGAGACACACAAGAAGAGAGAGAGAGAGAGAGAGAGAGAGAGAGAGAGAGACUGGUCAGAGACACAAGAAGAGAGAGAGGGAAAGACUGGUCAGAGACACACAAGAAGAGAGAGAGAGAGAGAGAGAGAGAGAGAGAGAGAGAGAGAGAGAGAGAGAGAGAGAGAGAGAGAGACUGGUCAGAGACACACAAGAAGAGAGAGAGAGAGAUAAAGAGAAGGUUCACCUAUGAUCUAUCACCGCAGGAGCCAACGUGACAAAGUAAUAUACUACUGUAUAAUACACUGUAACAGAAUGAACAUGUACAAGUGGGACACUAUUGAGCAUAAUCAAAGCACAAAGCCUCAAAGAGAAACGCAAACAGUCCGAAGAUGAAGAUGCAAAUGAGAGGGUCCUUAAGUGGAGAUGACGUCACUGUCGACCAUCCAGACACGUAGGAGGGGAGUUUGUUCUCAGUUCGGUUCAAAACCCCAUCCAUUUCUUGCACAUCCCAGCGCUCCUCUGCAGCUGGGAGGCUG
RNAcentral lists this long non-coding RNA (1755 nucleotides) under Salmo salar (Atlantic salmon). RNAcentral describes it as "lncRNA (ENSSSAG00000113574.1)". The record is from RNAcentral. Lineage: Eukaryota; Metazoa; Chordata; Actinopteri; Salmoniformes; Salmonidae.